Molecule: long non-coding RNA, 99 nt
Organism: Cebus imitator (Panamanian white-faced capuchin)
Lineage: Eukaryota; Metazoa; Chordata; Mammalia; Primates; Cebidae
Exons: 3
Source: RefSeq, a predicted model, not a curated record
CAGGCAUUUGAAAGAAGUUGAUUACAACCCUCCUGGGUGACUCUGAGGGGUUCAGGACUUCAGUGGAGGAAGUAACUGCAGAUGUGGAAAUAGCAAGAG